RNAcentral lists this transfer RNA (85 nucleotides) under Rhodothermaeota bacterium MED-G12. RNAcentral describes it as "tRNA-Leu". It matches the Rfam family "tRNA". From Rfam's summary of the family: Transfer RNA (tRNA) molecules are approximately 80 nucleotides in length. Their secondary structure includes four short double-helical elements and three loops (D, anti-codon, and T loops). Lineage: Bacteria; Pseudomonadati; Rhodothermota. The record is from RNAcentral.
GCCAAAGUGGCGAAACUGGUAGACGCGCACGACUCAAAAUCGUGUUCCUUCGGGAGUGUGGGUUCGAUUCCCACCUUUGGUACAA